This 543-nucleotide ribosomal RNA is filed under the name Triticum aestivum (bread wheat). Its description in RNAcentral is "partial small subunit ribosomal RNA". The record is from RNAcentral. Lineage: Eukaryota; Viridiplantae; Streptophyta; Magnoliopsida; Poales; Poaceae.
AUGGCGAACACAACAAGAUCCAUAGCUAUUGUUCUUAUUGUGCUUGCGGCCUUGUCCUUUGGUUUCCCUGCCAUCGAUGCCGACGCCACCCUCCUCGUCAAGACAUGCAAGAAGACCACAAACGCCUUGUUGUGCCUGGCAGUGUUGAACGUCGACCCAAAGAGCGCCUACGCCACCACCGAGCACGACCUUGCCAGCGCCGCACUGCAGGUCGCAAUUAACACUGCUGACCACAACGUCGAGGUCAUCCACAACUUAGCCAAGGAUGUCCAAGGCACACCUGAAGGAGGCGCGUUGAACAUCUGCCUCGGGGCCUAUGUUGAUGCCGCCAACGACCUCGAGAUCGACGCUCGCCCCGGUUUUGAUGGCGGGAACUAUGUCGGCGCAAGGAAUCUCGUGUUGGGUGCCAAGGGCGCCGGUGGUAGAUGCGAGGAUGCGUUCAAGGGGAUCAACAAGAAGUCCCCGGUGACAAACAUAGAUCAACAGAUGACAGAGCAUUGUGGCGUCGCAGGUGAACUCAUUGGCCUUCUUAUACACAAGUGA